AAAAGCUUCAACCUCUGAGAAAGAUACACAUUUUCUUUAUUUGCGAAGCACGGCACUUACGAUAAAGAUAUCUGAAAUUCAAGGCAGAAUAUGGAUAAAACAGAUAACAUUCCUGAGGUAGUGUGGCAGCCACGUGAAGAUUCUGGAGCUGAAAUGAGAAAGUUUAAAAAGUUGAUAGAAUCUAAGUAUAAUGUGACUUUAAAAGAUUUUUGGGAUUUGCACAAGUGGUCGGUGGAACACUUGCAACUAUUCUGGGCAGAAAUGUGGAAGCAAUGUGAUAUAAUUUAUUCAAAGAAUUUUGACCAAGUGGUCGAUUUGAAUAUUCCGAUGGAAGAUUCUCCUGCGUGGUUUGAGGGUGCAAGACUGAACUUUGCUGAGAACAUUCUUAAAUUUCGAGAUGAUCACAUGGCUUUAAUCUGUGCAGGUGAAGAUAGGGAAACAAUGUUUACUACUUAUGCCGAAAUGUACGAAGAAGCCACUUUGUAUACUGCUGCUCUCCGAAAAUUCGGUUUAAAGAAAGGAGAUAUUGUUGCUUGUUAUAUGUCCAAUAGAAAAGAAGCUAUCAUGUCUAUGCUUGGUGCUACAAGCAUUGGGGCUAUUUUUACGGGAGCUUUACCGAUCUUAGGGAGUAAGGGAGUUCUAAACUGCUUCAAGCUAGUUAACCCUAAGGUCCUUUUCACGAUAGACAGGUACCGGAAUAACAACGAGGAGGUGGAAAUGCUGACGAAGGUGAAAGAGAUUGCUGAGGGAUUGCCUUCUCUUGAAAAAGUCAUCAUAGUACCAUCGAAAAAAUGUUCUAAAUUGAAAGACAUCAGCAAAAUAAAAAACAGCUGUUUCUUAGAUGAAUUUCUUGAACUGGGCAGAGAAGCUGAUGGCACUGUUGCACCUUUAAUAUUCGAACAAGUAUCAUUCUCACAUCCUGUGUUCAUUAUUUACACUUCAGGCACUACAGGACCACCUAAGGCCUUGUAUGCUGGCUCAGGGAUUCUGUUAUCUACUGCAAGGGAUUGUGGGAUGUAUGGUAACCUUGAUAGAGAUACGGUUUGGCUCUCCUUUUCAGCGGUAGGAUGGGUUUCAUGGUGUAUGAUCACUGCUCUACACUUCCUUGGUUAUACAGUCAUAUUGUUCGAAAGUAAUCCUUACCUUCUUAGUCCAACGUUUUUGUGGGACUUGGUAGACGAUUUGAAAAUCACCCACCUUUUCAUUUCGCCUGGUAUUCUAGAUGAUUUGGAGAGGAAAGGAUAUCUACCGACGGAGAAACAUAACCUGAGUUCACUUAAAGCGAUAAUGAGCGGUGGAAGUGUCGUCAAGCCCCAGAAUUUUGAAUUCCAUAAAAAAGUGAAAAAAGACGUACUUUAUCAUGCUCUUUACGGUAGCACGGAAGUAAUGAUGACGGUUAUGUGGCAUGACCACUCCUUACCCGUUUAUAAGGGAGAGUUAUCUUCCCCUUGUUUAGGUGUCGAUAUCCAAUGCUUGAAUGAGGAAGGAAAAUCUGUAGUAGGUGAACCCGGAGAAAUUGUAAUAGCGAAACCUAUGCCUUCUUUAGUUUUGGGCAUAUGGGGAGAUGACGAUCGGUCUAUAUUCAAGGCUACAUAUUUUUCAAAAUUUCCAGGAAAAUUUGCAAUGAGUGACAUAGGCAUUAUUAAUCCAAAAACGAAAGGUCUUAUUAUCUGCGGAAGGAGCACGAAGGUACUCCUGCCCCUCCACUUGAAGGGCGACUGGGGAAGAACCACUUUUGCCAGAUGCGGAUGGAGAUGAAUUCUUGCUUAAAAUAUUUUAGUUCGGUCAUCAUUUGUUGAGCUCUUUAAUUCUUUCUCAGGGCAAAAGAGAUGAAAAAUCAAUGAUGCCAGAUGGACAUCCAAUUACAUUAUAAAAACAUGUGCGAUGCUACUUUGAAUGUACAAGGCUGGCGCAUUGGAACUACCCAGAUUUACAGUAUUGUUGACAAAUUUCCUGAGGUCCAGGAUAGUGUCUGUGUCUCUCAGUAUGGCAAGAAUUUAGACGAAAGGGCUG
RNAcentral lists this unclassified non-coding RNA (2013 nucleotides) under Stegodyphus dumicola. Its description in RNAcentral is "acetoacetyl-CoA synthetase-like, transcript variant X1". The record is from RNAcentral. Lineage: Eukaryota; Metazoa; Arthropoda; Arachnida; Araneae; Eresidae.